This 423-nucleotide ribosomal RNA is filed under the name uncultured soil bacterium. Its description in RNAcentral is "bacterial SSU rRNA". It matches the Rfam family "Bacterial small subunit ribosomal RNA", at positions 35 to 458 of the family's 1533-position model. The record is from RNAcentral.
GCUGGCGGCGUGCCUAACACAUGCAAGUCGAGCGGUAACAGGUGUAGCAAUACAUGCUGACGAGCGGCGAACGGGUGAGUAAUGCUUCGGAAUCUACCCAAUGGCGGGGAAUAACUAGCCGAAAGGUUAGCUAAUACCGCAUAAGCCCUACGGGGGAAAGCAGGGGAUCGUAAGACCUUGCACCGAUGGAUGAGCCGAAGCCGGAUUAGCUAGUUGGUAGGGUAACGGCCUACCAAGGCGACGAUCCGUAGCUGGUCUGAGAGGACGACCAGCCACACUGGGACUGAGACACGGCCCAGACUCCUACGGGAGGCAGCAGUGGGGAAUAUUGGACAAUGGGGGAAACCCUGAUCCAGCGACGCCGCGUGUGUGAAGAAGGCCUGCGGGUUGUAAAGCACUUUUAGUGGGGAUGAAAAGUUCAGG